AACGUCGUCUCUGAGCCUCAGUUUCUACAUCUGAAAAAUAGGGAAAAACAAUAGACGCCUCCCAGGGUCACUGAAAGAAUUAACAAGAUAACAUAUGCUAAGAGUUUCAAGGGCCACGGGAAGGAGAGGGAUCGGGGCCAUUACAUUUCAUCUUUAAAUUGACUUACCAUGGGUCUCGUCUACACUGGAAGGUGCAUGAGGUCAUCACAAAGCUACUGGGAAAUCGGGGAGCCAGGUCCAACAUCAGCUCCCUAAAUGGGUCUUCCCUGGUCACUGUGUUAGAAGCAGCCUCUCUUCCCCUCUCCUCGCCUCCGCCCGUCACCCUCGCCUCCAUCACGGAGUUGAUUUCUAUCAUAGUGCCCAUCACCACCCAGUGGAUGUCUGGGAGCCUGGGAGUCCAGGGGAGAGCAGAGAGCCUGGAAACGGAGGAAAUCCAGCGUGGAGAAGAGCAAUUUUGCUGUGAUGCUCUAUGUGCCCCACUAAAUACCCUCUCCACACCUGCCCUGCCAAGCCAGCGUGUACAGCAUCACGCUGUCGGAUUGUCCUCAAGAUGUUAUUGCCAGCCAGCAAGAUGGUGUUCAUUUGCAGCAGAAAAUAGCCUCACAGGCCGACCUGGAAGCUUAAUGGACUGCUGGAUCCUUGUCCUCUCUGAGGCUCAGAAAACACUUUGCACAAAAGGUUCACAGUGGGGCAAAGGCAGCAAUAUUCCAGCAGCAGGAUUUGUCUGACAUCCACAGGGGUCAGAACCAAAGUCACUCAGGGAUCUGACCUACGAUAGCCAAGGGUACCACUCCCUAGAUCAGCUCUGUCCAAUAGCACUUACAACAAAUGAAUCGGUUCUGUCCAGGACAUCAGCCCCCAGGCACAUGGCUAUUGAGCACUUGAAAUUCAAGCUGAUGUGACUGAAUUGAACUGAAUUUUCGAUUUUAUUUAAACUUGGGUUAGUUUACAAUGAAGUUGAAAUUGUAGCUAUUGUAUCAGACAGCACAGCCCUAGAUCAUUAAACCCUGUUCGUGCAAGUGCAGGGAGCUGCUGUAAAAUAUUUUCUGCCACCUCCUUCCCUUGAGUAGCACUGAAGUCACUGAAGAGAACACAUUCUAACAUCCACUUUGUUAAUCAUCAGCCACGACUUUCACCACUGCCAUUUAUGUCUAACGUUCAUUGUAUCAAUUAGUGAAGUCUCUGGUAUUGACCAAACAUCAAAGUCAUUGCCUCUGGAGUGUGGUCUCUCUGAUGCCUUGCUAGGGGAUCACCCACAGAGAGUGAAUUAUUGAUUAGAACAACUGACCACCAUGAAAACGGUGGUUGAAAUGAACACUGUCAGCCCUCCAUAUCCCACGGGUUCCGCGUCUGCAAGUUCAGCCAAACGCAGGGAGCAAACCUAAUCUACCGUCCAAAGGUGGUUGAACCCGUGGAUGCGGAACUGUGGAUAUGGAGAACUGACUCUGGGACUUAAGCAUCUGGGGAUUUUGGUAUCCACAGCGAGUCCUGGAACCAGUCCCCCAAGGAUACCCAAGGAUGACCGCCCAUC
Bos taurus (domestic cattle) is the source of this 1531-nucleotide long non-coding RNA. The record is from Ensembl. Lineage: Eukaryota; Metazoa; Chordata; Mammalia; Artiodactyla; Bovidae.